Pogona vitticeps (central bearded dragon) is the source of this 320-nucleotide long non-coding RNA. RefSeq lists it as uncharacterized. The record is from RefSeq and is a predicted model, not a curated record. Lineage: Eukaryota; Metazoa; Chordata; Lepidosauria; Squamata; Agamidae.
UUUCUGCUGGGAGGAAAAAUUCCUCAAAUUCAAAGCAAGAAGGACAGGCAUCUGCCAGAGUUUGUUUGUUUUGAAAAUUUACAGUACCUUGUGAAGAAACUUGCUGUGCCAGAAAAACUGAAAGCAAAAGUAGGGAGGUCCAAUAUAUAUUCCAUGCCAUGGAUCAGCUGAAGACACUGUAGUGGCUGACACACAGCAGAACAUCCCUCCCUGCCCUGCAGGGAGUAAUCAAGACCAGUCAAAUUAUUUUGGCACCUGAUAAAGAAAACUCUAAAAUUACCACUCCUCUUUCCUUACAAAAAAAGUAUGACAUAGAUCAA